UCCAUUUUAAUAAAAAUUACACUAAAAUAAUAUUACAUUAAAAUUCCAACACAUCUUACAUUUUGACAAAGUUCAAUUCCAUACACAAGUUAAUACAUAAUUUCAUCCAAUUAUAUUCCAAAUCGCAUGGCUAUACAUAACCUUACAUUCAAACCAAUACAAUGUCGCUUUUCAAAAUUUACAUAAAAUCCAACCAUGGACAAUCCUAAGUCCUAAGUCAUUCUUCA
RNAcentral lists this long non-coding RNA (227 nucleotides) under Lathyrus oleraceus (garden pea). RNAcentral describes it as "Pisum sativum (pea) long non-coding RNA (PSAT_LNC031414)". Lineage: Eukaryota; Viridiplantae; Streptophyta; Magnoliopsida; Fabales; Fabaceae. The record is from RNAcentral.